CUUUUCCGAUCUCGAUAACUUUGUUCAAUUCACUACCAAGAAACAUGGUCAUUGUGCUCUUGGAACUCAUUUCAAUAAAGUUCAUAUUAUGCAUGCCCUUCGUAGCUUGGAUCCAGAUUACACAACGCUAUGAGUAAUAAUUCACAGCCCCAUAUUGGUUCUUUGAUUUAUCUCCCUUUUUGGAAUGUUACAUUUCUGUGACCAAGGCAUUUUGUUAAAGAACAAAGCAAAACUUGAGUAACUCUUCAUGGGUAUAAGAAGGAACAUGGAUUCUUUAAGUUAGUGAAGCCUGAGAAAAGGGCAUCAUCUGCCUCCAGCUCUUGCAGAUUCCCUAGGGAAAGUUGUCAUCUGUUCCGAUAAAGGAAGACUUCUUUUUAAAUAUAAAAACUGGUCAAAUAAAAUCACAACCCUCCAUUCUUACAGAGCUACAGCCAAUAUCUUUUUUAUUCUCUCUCUCUCUCAUUUAAUUCUGUUUUUUAAUUGCUUAUAGGUAAAGAUGAAUGAUGUUUAAGAAAACAGAGAUUUCAUCCUGUGUCCAUUUAUGAAAUUCACAAACAUUAAUCGAGGGCCAAGAGUGGUCUAAAUCUUAGGUCACAGGGUGCCAUAUUUAUCUCUAAAUGUGGUAAGAGUAAACAAUAAAGUUUUCUGAGCUUUUUCAUUAUUUCUUCAGAAGGAGCACUCACCAAUUUUUUUUUACCUCUGAGAUUUCUCUACCAGAGACAAGUUAUAUCUUUGAGUCUGCAGUGGAAAUAGUCCCUGAAUCCAUCACUUUACUCUUUUAAAAGCCCUGCACUUAGGAGUAAAUGAAAAAGGACUCUUGAGACUGCUCCCUCUUCAGAGAAAAUGACUUUCACUCCUCUCAUUUUAGGACCAAUUCUCCUUUAACUCUCCUGCCAAAUUCUUCACUCUCAGCUCAGCACUUCAAAUUCAGAUAAAUGGGCAUAUCACUUCUACAAAGGAAGCAAAUUUUUGAAGAAACUUCAAUUUCCUUCUUAGGAAAGUAGAGUGGUCUAAAACCAAGGGCUUAUUUCUAGGAAAAUAGCCAUUUAUAGGCUUUGCCAAAACAUAAUAUAAAAAGG
Molecule: long non-coding RNA, 1079 nt
Organism: Myotis brandtii (Brandt's bat)
Lineage: Eukaryota; Metazoa; Chordata; Mammalia; Chiroptera; Vespertilionidae
Exons: 3
Source: RefSeq, a predicted model, not a curated record